RNAcentral lists this ribosomal RNA (301 nucleotides) under uncultured bacterium. RNAcentral describes it as "partial 16S ribosomal RNA". It matches the Rfam family "Bacterial small subunit ribosomal RNA", at positions 509 to 807 of the family's 1533-position model. The record is from RNAcentral.
CAGCCGCCGCGGGAAAACGGAGGGUGCAAGCGUUACUCGGAAUUACUGGGCGUAAAGCGUGCGUAGGUGGUGGGUUAAGUCUGUUGUGAAAUCCCCGGGCUUAACCUGGGAACUGCAUUUGAAACUGUCAGGCUGGAGUCUUGUAGAGGGGGGUGGAAUUCCAGGUGUAGCGGUGAAAUGCGUAGAGAUCUGGAGGAAUACCGGUGGCGAAGGCGGCCCCCUGGACAAAGACUGACGCUCAGGUGCGAAAGCGUGGGGAGCAAACAGGAUUAGAUACCCGUGUAGUCCCUGUCUCUUAUAC